CUCUGGAGAAGAACAAAGGGGUGCAAACCCUAGUUCUUAAAGAAGUUCCAAAUUGAAGGUUGAAUCGAAGCUCAAAAUCAUGAAUAAACACGAAUUAAUGCUCACCAUCACAAGAGGAUCAAAAGCAUUAGGGAUCAUGUGGAAAUGGACUCGAGCAAGAAAGACUAACGGGUUAAGAGGAGACAAGAAAGUGGAUGCGAAAACGGACGCUCAAGGUUGUACGAAUGACAAAUUAUCUUCAUGAGGUGUAGCGAUCAAGGUCCGAGUUGCAAGAUAGAUUGUACGGGGAUCCUGGAGUAUGUAAAAUGAUAGACAUAAGUUAGACUUUCAUUUUGUAAAUGAGUACGAAGGUUGCGUAUAUUGUAAAAAGGUUAUUUUAUAUUGAAGUUUCAAGUAGUAUAAAACGUUUUUAAUGAAAGAAAUUUUAUGGUA
Helianthus annuus (common sunflower) is the source of this 432-nucleotide long non-coding RNA. RefSeq lists it as uncharacterized. The transcript is spliced from 3 exons. The record is from RefSeq and is a predicted model, not a curated record. Lineage: Eukaryota; Viridiplantae; Streptophyta; Magnoliopsida; Asterales; Asteraceae.